This 253-nucleotide ribosomal RNA is filed under the name uncultured bacterium. Its description in RNAcentral is "partial 16S ribosomal RNA". It matches the Rfam family "Bacterial small subunit ribosomal RNA", at positions 524 to 776 of the family's 1533-position model. The record is from RNAcentral.
GACGAACUGUGCAAACGUUAUUCGGAAUUACUGGGCGUAAAGGGUUCGUAGGUGGCCUGCUAAGUCAGACGUGAAAUCCCUCAGCUUAACUGGGGAACUGCGUCUGAGACUGGCGGGCUUGAGUGCAGGAGAGGAACGCGGAAUUCCAGGUGUAGCGGUGAAAUGCGUAGAUAUCUGGAGGAACACCGGUGGCGAAGGCGGCGUUCUGGACUGUUACUGACACUGAGGAACGAAAGCCAGGGGAGCAAACGGG